This 2918-nucleotide ribosomal RNA is filed under the name Salmonella enterica subsp. enterica. RNAcentral describes it as "bacterial LSU rRNA". It matches the Rfam family "Bacterial large subunit ribosomal RNA". The record is from RNAcentral. Lineage: Bacteria; Pseudomonadati; Pseudomonadota; Gammaproteobacteria; Enterobacterales; Enterobacteriaceae. RNAcentral also lists the same sequence under 1 other name.
GGGUUGUGAGGUUAAGCGACCAAGCGUACACGGUGGAUGCCCUGGCAGUCAGAGGCGAUGAAGGACGUGCUAAUCUGCGAAAAGCGCCGGUAAGGUGAUAUGAACCGUUAUAACCGGCGAUGUCCGAAUGGGGAAACCCAGUGUGACUCGUCACACUAUCAUUAACUGAAUCCAUAGGUUAAUGAGGCGAACCGGGGGAACUGAAACAUCUAAGUACCCCGAGGAAAAGAAAUCAACCGAGAUUCCCCCAGUAGCGGCGAGCGAACGGGGAGGAGCCCAGAGCCUGAAUCAGCAUGUGUGUUAGUGGAAGCGUCUGGAAAGGCGCGCGAUACAGGUGAGAGCCCCGUACACAAAAGCGCAUAUGCUGUGAGCUCGAUGAGUAGGGCGGGACACGUGGUAUCCUGUCUGAAUAUGGGGGACCAUCCUCCAAGGCUAAAUACUCCUGACUGACCGAUAGUGAACCAGUACCGUGAGGGAAAGGCGAAAAGAACCCCGGCGAGGGGAGUGAAACAGAACCUGAAACCGUGUACGUACAAGCAGUGGGAGCCUCUCUUUAUGGGGGGUGACUGCGUACCUUUGUAUAAUGGGUCAGCGACUUAUAUUCUGUAGCAAGGUUAACCGCAUAGGGGAGCCGAAGGAAACCGAGUCUUAACCGGGCGUUAAGUUGCAGGGUAUAGACCCGAAACCCGGUGAUCUAGCCAUGGGCAGGUUGAAGGUUGGGUAACACUAACUGGAGGACCGAACCGACUAAUGUUGAAAAAUUAGCGGAUGACCUGUGGCUGGGGUGAAAGGCCAAUCAAACCGGGAGAUAGCUGGUUCUCCCCGAAAGCUAUUUAGGUAGCGCCUCGUGAACUCAUCUCCGGGGUAGAGCACUGUUUCGGCUAGGGGCCAUCCCGGCUUACCAACCCGAUGCAAACUGCGAAUACCGGAGAAUGUUAUCACGGGAGACACACGGCGGGUGCUAACGUCCGUCGUGAAGAGGAAACAACCCAGACCGCCAGCUAAGGUCCCAAAGUCAUGGUUAAGUGGGAAACGAUGUGGGAAGGCCCAGACAGCCGUGAUGUUGGCUUAGAAGCAGCCAUCAUUUAAAGAAAGCGUAAUAGCUCACUGGUCGAGUCGGCCUGCGCGGAAGAUGUAACGGGGCUAAACCAUGCACCGAAGCUGCGGCAGCGACACUUUAGUGUUGUUGGGUAGGGGAGCGUUCUGUAAGCCGUUGAAGGUGUCCUGUGAGGGGUGCUGGAGGUAUCAGAAGUGCGAAUGCUGACAUAAGUAACGAUAAAGCGGGUGAAAAGCCCGCUCGCCGGAAGACCAAGGGUUCCUGUCCAACGUUAAUCGGGGCAGGGUGAGUCGACCCCUAAGGCGAGGCCGAAAGGCGUAGUCGAUGGGAAACGGGUUAAUAUUCCCGUACUUGGUGUUACUGCGAAGGGGGACGGAGAAGGCUAUGUUGGCCGGGCGACGGUAGUCCCGGUUUAAGCGUGUAGGCUGGUUUUCCGGCAAAUCCGGAAAAUCAAGGCUGAGGCGUGAUGACGAGGCACCACGGUGCUGAAGCAACAAAUGCCCUGCUUCCGUGAAAGCCUCUAAGCAUCAGGUAACAUCAAAUCGUACCCCAAACCGACACAGGUGGUCAGGUAGAGAAUACCAAGGCGCUUGAGAGAACUCGGGUGAAGGAACUAGGCAAAAUGGUGCCGUAACUUCGGGAGAAGGCACGCUGACACGUAGGUGAAGUGAUUUACUCAUGGAGCUGAAGUCAGUCGAAGAUACCAGCUGGCUGCAACUGUUUAUUAAAAACACAGCACUGUGCAAACACGAAAGUGGACGUAUACGGUGUGACGCCUGCCCGGUGCCGGAAGGUUAAUUGAUGGGGUCAGCGCAAGCGAAGCUCCUGAUCGAAGCCCCGGUAAACGGCGGCCGUAACUAUAACGGUCCUAAGGUAGCGAAAUUCCUUGUCGGGUAAGUUCCGACCUGCACGAAUGGCGUAAUGAUGGCCAGGCUGUCUCCACCCGAGACUCAGUGAAAUUGAACUCGCUGUGAAGAUGCAGUGUACCCGCGGCAAGACGGAAAGACCCCGUGAACCUUUACUAUAGCUUGACACUGAACAUUGAGCCUUGAUGUGUAGGAUAGGUGGGAGGCUUUGAAGCGUGGACGCCAGUCUGCGUGGAGCCAACCUUGAAAUACCACCCUUUAAUGUUUGAUGUUCUAACGUGGACCCGUAAUCCGGGUUGCGGACAGUGUCUGGUGGGUAGUUUGACUGGGGCGGUCUCCUCCUAAAGAGUAACGGAGGAGCACGAAGGUUGGCUAAUCCCUGGUCGGACAUCAGGAGGUUAGUGCAAUGGCAUAAGCCAGCUUGACUGCGAGCGUGACGGCGCGAGCAGGUGCGAAAGCAGGUCAUAGUGAUCCGGUGGUUCUGAAUGGAAGGGCCAUCGCUCAACGGAUAAAAGGUACUCCGGGGAUAACAGGCUGAUACCGCCCAAGAGUUCAUAUCGACGGCGGUGUUUGGCACCUCGAUGUCGGCUCAUCACAUCCUGGGGCUGAAGUAGGUCCCAAGGGUAUGGCUGUUCGCCAUUUAAAGUGGUACGCGAGCUGGGUUUAGAACGUCGUGAGACAGUUCGGUCCCUAUCUGCCGUGGGCGCUGGAAGACUGAGGGGGGCUGCUCCUAGUACGAGAGGACCGGAGUGGACGCAUCACUGGUGUUCGGGUUGUCAUGCCAAUGGCACUGCCCGGUAGCUAAAUGCGGAAAAGAUAAGUGCUGAAAGCAUCUAAGCACGAAACUUGCCCCGAGAUGAGUCUUCCCUGAGACCUUGAGUCUCCUGAAGGAACGUUAAAGACGAUGACGUUGAUAGGCCGGGUGUGUAAGCGCAGCGAUGCGUUGAGCUAACCGGUACUAAUGAACCGUGAGGCUUAACCUUACAACGCCGAAG